UCGAUUGGUCACUUAAGUUCAUUUUUUUUUAUUUCUUUCUCUUUUCAUCUGUGCAAAGGAAAGCACCUGAGGGAGAUUAGAGGGGAAAGCCAAUGCCAGUGAUGAUGAGAAGAAACCCUACAGUAGAGACCAGUUGGAGGUGGCAGCAACUGUGAGGAGAGCAAGGAGGAGAUCGGCAUCUCAGAUCUAUGGGAAGGAAAGCACCUAAGGG
RNAcentral lists this long non-coding RNA (211 nucleotides) under Elaeis guineensis (African oil palm). RNAcentral's name for it is "long non-coding RNA (EGUI_LNC081809)". Lineage: Eukaryota; Viridiplantae; Streptophyta; Magnoliopsida; Arecales; Arecaceae. The record is from RNAcentral.